GUAGGUGGCAAGCGUUGUCCGGAAUUAUUGGGCGUAAAGCGCGCGCAGGCGGUUCUUUAAGUCUGAUGUGAAAGCCCACGGCUCAACCGUGGAGGGUCAUUGGAAACUGGAGAACUUGAGUACAGAAGAGGAAAGCGGAAUUCCACGUGUAGCGGUGAAAUGCGUAGAGAUGUGGAGGGAACACCAGUGGCGAAGGCGGCUUUCUGGUCUGUAACUGACGCUGAGGCGCGAAAGCGUGGGGAGCAAACAGGAUUAGAUACUCUGGUAGUCCACGCCGUAAACGAUGAGUGCUAAGUGUUAGGGGGUUUCCGCCCUUAGUGCUGCAGCUAACGCAUUAAGCACUCCGCCUGGGGAGUACGGCGCAAGGCUG
This 370-nucleotide ribosomal RNA is filed under the name uncultured organism. RNAcentral describes it as "partial 16S ribosomal RNA". It matches the Rfam family "Bacterial small subunit ribosomal RNA", at positions 527 to 896 of the family's 1533-position model. The record is from RNAcentral.